GAUUUCUGGCCUGGUGUGCCUUGCCCGCUGCCGUUAGGCAUGUGAGUGCGAGGUCGCACCUGCCAUCCUUCUGGAAAACAUUCCUACCAUUCACUUGGCCGGGAAUGCAAUCCAGAUCUUUUACUUUGAAAAAAUUAGAGUGUUUCAAGCAGGCUUUAUGCUAUGAAUACAUUAGCAUGGAAUAAUAAUUUAGGACUUCGGUUCUAUUUUGUUGGUUUCUAGGACUGAAGUAAUGAUUGAUAGGGAUAGUUGGGGGUGCUAGUAUUCAGCGGCCAGAGGUGAAAUUCUCGGAUUCGCUGAAGACUAACUUAUGCGAAAGCAUU
RNAcentral lists this ribosomal RNA (323 nucleotides) under Allapsidae sp. RNAcentral describes it as "SSU rRNA". The stretch from base 110 to 323 matches the Rfam family "Eukaryotic small subunit ribosomal RNA", at positions 741 to 955 of the family's 1831-position model. The record is from RNAcentral. Lineage: Eukaryota; Cercozoa; Glissomonadida; Viridiraptoridae.